CAAAACUCAUCUGUGUGUGUUUCUCUCAGCUCCUGUGUCCUCUGUCCUGCUGGUCUCUGAGUGUCUGUCCCAGGGAGAGAUGAGGGUGUCCUGCUCCUCUGAGGGAGGGGACAGUCCUCAGUACAGCUGGACUCUGGAUGGACGCACACUGACAGAUGCUGAGCUCCUUUCUGGAAAUAAUAAGAGCUACAAUAUUAUUCUGAAACAGCACGUCUCAGGACAUCUGGUCUGCUCAGUGAGAAAUCAUGUCAAUAGUGUCUCCAAAGAACAAAGGAUAUGUACUUGUGGAUUCAUUUUCAUUAACUGCACUUUAUCUGAUGGGACACACAUAACAAAGUGGGUGCUUGCAACCAAAAAUACCCUGUGUAUUAAACCAACAAUGGGCCCUAUAACAGUCUCUGACACUGCUCUAGAUAACUCCUUACUUUUAUGUGGUUUGAGAGCAAUCUUGGGAAUUCUCUUAUUAAUUGGGAUUUUCAUCUACUUUGCUUGGAAGAAAAAGAAAACUGAAAAAGCUGCUGUCCCACAAACAAUGGACUAUCCAGACAACUCUGUUCUGAUGGUUGAAAUGACAACUUCUACUUCUUGCAACGCGUAGUGUCAACUUUCAUCUGCCCGACAUUUCACAUCUCUGUGAGUGUGAAAAUAGCACUUAGAUGACACGUAUCUCUUGUUUUUAUUCACUAAUCAUGUUUUACAUUUACACAUCUUACACUGAAUUACCACGAGAAGGUCUGAAUAUCUUCUGUAUUUGUAUUCUGUGGAAACUAAUAUAACAAAUGUUGUAAUUGUAAGUAGAGUAGUCUUUUAAUUUGACACAUUUUUUGUCAAGCUUAUGGUGGCCUAAAAUCAAAUUUUUUACAUAACUGCAAAUAGAAAUAAUCAACCCACCAGAAACUACUGUUUGUACUAAACUGAAUUUGAGCACUCUCAAACUAUUUGCAAGUGGUUGAAAUUAACAGCACUGAUUCAUACAGUGUACUUUUCUUUUGUUAUUGCUACACCGUAACAAUAUAUUUGUAGGACAUGUUAAUAUUUAUAGUGUGUAUUAGAUGAUUUACAGACAUAGUCACACAACUCAAUAACAGUUGUGACUAAAAGACGAUUGAAUAAUGUAGUCAAUCAUAACUGAAUAAUGUAAAAGGUACCAUGGUCACCAGGUUUUUAAGUUCUCUUUAGCUUUGCACUUUUGAAAAUCUUUGUUACAUUAUUCUGCAUUGGUUUCAUUUCUAUGUUGUGAGGGGUUUACCUAAGGUUUUUCUUAGUGUUUUGUGAUCUUGUUUCAUCAGUUCUUUUGGUAGCAUUUCAGUCUGAUUUAUGUAUUGCUGUGUUUUCCUGCUUCCCUUGUGUAUCUGCUGGUUCUGACUUUUCUGUAUUUGUUUACCUUUCUGUCUUUGUGUCAAGCUCAUAUGUCGUAGUCUAGGUAUCAGUGUUAGUCAUUUCCUGUUUUAAUUUGAUAGUCUGCCGUCCCUUGUGCUUUGUGUUCUGUUUUGUUUCUCUUAUUUCAUUAGCCUGGGAUAAGUGUCAGCUGUACUCCCACCUCUUGCCUGUUCCCUCAUCGUCCUGUAUGUUCAUAUAUGGCCUGAGUCUCAUUUUGUUUUUUGUUCUGUUCUUCCUCUAGACGGUGUGCCUCUUGCUGUGUGUUCUGCGGUCCAUGUGUCCUACCAUGUAAACCUAGUUCAUUAGUUCCUGUUUCCACCUUGAUUGAAUUAUUUUGUAUUCUGUAUUUUAGUUUUUGUUCGUUUAGCAAUAAAGCUGUUUUGAGUUUAA
Oreochromis niloticus (Nile tilapia) is the source of this 1770-nucleotide long non-coding RNA. RefSeq lists it as uncharacterized. The transcript is spliced from 3 exons. NCBI's taxonomy places the organism in Eukaryota, Metazoa, Chordata, Actinopteri, Cichliformes, Cichlidae. The record is from RefSeq and is a predicted model, not a curated record.